RNAcentral lists this ribosomal RNA (1287 nucleotides) under Staphylococcus aureus. Its description in RNAcentral is "partial 23S ribosomal RNA". It matches the Rfam family "Bacterial large subunit ribosomal RNA", at positions 950 to 2238 of the family's 2925-position model. The record is from RNAcentral. Lineage: Bacteria; Bacillati; Bacillota; Bacilli; Caryophanales; Staphylococcaceae.
CAAACUCCGAAUGCCAAUUAAUUUAACUUGGGAGUCAGAACAUGGGUGAUAAGGUCCGUGUUCGAAAGGGAAACAGCCCAGACCACCAGCUAAGGUCCCAAAAUAUAUGUUAAGUGGAAAAGGAUGUGGCGUUGCCCAGACAACUAGGAUGUUGGCUUAGAAGCAGCCAUCAUUUAAAGAGUGCGUAAUAGCUCACUAGUCGAGUGACACUGCGCCGAAAAUGUACCGGGGCUAAACAUAUUACCGAAGCUGUGGAUUGUCCUUUGGACAAUGGUAGGAGAGCGUUCUAAGGGCGUUGAAGCAUGAUCGUAAGGACAUGUGGAGCGCUUAGAAGUGAGAAUGCCGGUGUGAGUAGCGAAAGACGGGUGAGAAUCCCGUCCACCGAUUGACUAAGGUUUCCAGAGGAAGGCUCGUCCGCUCUGGGUUAGUCGGGUCCUAAGCUGAGGCCGACAGGCGUAGGCGAUGGAUAACAGGUUGAUAUUCCUGUACCACCUAUAAUCGUUUUAAUCGAUGGGGGGACGCAGUAGGAUAGGCGAAGCGUGCGAUUGGAUUGCACGUCUAAGCAGUAAGGCUGAGUAUUAGGCAAAUCCGGUACUCGUUAAGGCUGAGCUGUGAUGGGGAGAAGACAUUGAGUCUUCGAGUCGUUGAUUUCACACUGCCGAGAAAAGCCUCUAGAUAGAAAAUAGGUGCCCGUACCGCAAACCGACACAGGUAGUCAAGAUGAGAAUUCUAAGGUGAGCGAGCGAACUCUCGUUAAGGAACUCGGCAAAAUGACCCCGUAACUUCGGGAGAAGGGGUGCUCUUUAGGGUUAACGCCCAGAAGAGCCGCAGUGAAUAGGCCCAAGCGACUGUUUAUCAAAAACACAGGUCUCUGCUAAACCGUAAGGUGAUGUAUAGGGGCUGACGCCUGCCCGGUGCUGGAAGGUUAAGAGGAGUGGUUAGCUUCUGCGAAGCUACGAAUCGAAGCCCCAGUAAACGGCGGCCGUAACUAUAACGGUCCUAAGGUAGCGAAAUUCCUUGUCGGGUAAGUUCCGACCCGCACGAAAGGCGUAACGAUUUGGGCACUGUCUCAACGAGAGACUCGGUGAAAUCAUAGUACCUGUGAAGAUGCAGGUUACCCGCGACAGGACGGAAAGACCCCGUGGAGCUUUACUGUAGCCUGAUAUUGAAAUUCGGCACAGCUUGUACAGGAUAGGUAGGAGCCUUUGAAACGUGAGCGCUAGCUUACGUGGAGGCGCUGGUGGGAUACUACCCUAGCUGUGUUGGCUUUCUAACCCGCACCACUUA